RNAcentral lists this ribosomal RNA (298 nucleotides) under Megabothris groenlandicus. RNAcentral describes it as "partial 12S ribosomal RNA". Lineage: Eukaryota; Metazoa; Arthropoda; Insecta; Siphonaptera; Ceratophyllidae. The record is from RNAcentral.
AUACUAAAGUAGUAAGAGAUAUAGGCUUGAAACUUAAAGAAUUUGGCGGUAUUUUAAUCUUUUCAGAGGAACCUGUUCUAUAAUCGAUAUUCCACGUUAAAUUUUACUAAAUUAUUUAUAUAUCGUUGUCGAAAGAAUAAAUUUUCUAAUAUUUUGAAAAAAAUAGAUGUCAAAUCAAGGUGUAGUUUAUAAUUUAGUAGAAAUGGGUUACAAUAAAUUUAUUUAGAAAAUUUUGGAAGGAGGAUUUGAAAGUAAAUUAAUUUUAAUAAAUUUAAUUGAUUAUAGUUCUAAGAUAUGU